RNAcentral lists this ribosomal RNA (2889 nucleotides) under human gut metagenome. RNAcentral's name for it is "Bacterial large subunit ribosomal RNA". It matches the Rfam family "Bacterial large subunit ribosomal RNA". The record is from RNAcentral.
UUAAGUUAAUAAGGGCGUACAGUGAAUGCCUUGGCAUUAGAAGACGAAGAAGGACGCGACUACCUGCGAUAAGCGUUGGGGAGCUGGACGUAAGCUUUGAUCCGACGAUCUCCGAAUGGGGCAACCCAAUAUGAGUAAUGUCAUAUUAUCCUAUGAUGAAUACAUAGUCAUAGUGAAGGAAUACCCGGGGAACCGAAACAUCCAAUUACCCGGAGGAAAAGAAAGAUAAAAUAUCGAUUCCGUCAGUAGCGGCGAGCGAAAGCGGAAAAGCCCAAACCAACCUAAGGGUUGGGGUUCGGGACACAAUAUAGUAUGUUACAUCUCAGUCGAGAGAUGUGGGAAAAUCUGCCAAAGAGGGUGAUAGCCCCGUAGGCGAAAAGGUGUAACAACUUAGUGUUUCCAAAGUACGGCGAGGCACGUGAAACCUUGUCGGAAUGUGCGCAGACCACUGCGUAAGGCUAAAUACUAACUAAUGACCGAUAGUGAACCAGUACCGUGAGGGAAAGGUGAAAAGAACCCCGAGAGGGGAGUGAAAAGACUCUGAAACUGUAUGCUUACAAAAAGUCAGAGGCCGUUAAAGGCUGAUGGCGUGCCUAUUGAAGAAUGAACCGGCGAGUUAUAUUAUCAUGCGAGGUUAAGUAGAAGAUACGGAGCCGUAGCGAAAGCGAGUCUAAAUAGGGCGAAUGAGUAUGAUGAUAUAGACCCGAAACCAGGUGAGCUAGCCAUGAUCAGGAUGAAGUCGGGGUACAACCCGAUGGAGGUCCGAACCGACGUUCGUUGAAACGCCCGCGGAUGAAUUGUGGCUAGAGGAGAAAUUCCAACCGAACUUGGUUAUAGCUGGUUCUCCCCGAAAUAGCUUUAGGGCUAGCGUCAGGUGAUGCUACGUGGAGGUAGAGCACUGAAUGUAAGAUGGCCGCAUCUAGCGGUACUGAUUGCAAUCAAACUCCGAAUUCCAUGCAAGUUAACCUGGCAGUCAGUCUGUGGGAGAUAAGUUCCAUGGACAAAAGGGAAACAGCCCAGAUCGUCAAUUAAGGUCCCAAAAUUUAUGCUAAGUGUUAAAGGAUGUAGAAAUGCACAAACAACUAGGAUGUUGGCUCAGAAGCAGCCACCAUUUAAAGAGUGCGUAACAGCUCACUAGUCGAGUGUCUCUGCGCCGAAGAUUUACCGGGGCUAAGCAUAAUACCGAAAUUACGGAUUUAAUGUUUCAUUAAGUGGUAGGGGAGCGUUCCAUUUGCGGCGAAGCCAUAUCGUAAGGAGUGGUGGAGCGGAUGGAAGUGAGUAUGCCGGUGUAAGUAACGAAUGAGGGUGAGAAUCCCUCACACCGAUUGACUAAGGUUUCCAGGGCAAGGGUCGUCCUCCCUGGGUUAGUCAGGACCUAAGGCGAGGCCGAAAGGCGUAGUCGAUGGACAGCAGGUUGAUAUUCCUGCACUCGUAUAUGUGCGAUGUAAUGACAGAGAAGGUUAAGUUGGCCGGUUAAUGGAUUCCGGUCUAAGCGAGGUAGCUGAACUGCAGGCAAAUCCGUAGUUCAUAAGGCGAAGACGUGAUGGGGAGCGAAUGGAGCAAUCCUAGUAGCGAAGCAACUGAUACCAGCUCUCGAGAAAAGUUGCUAGCUUAAGCAUAUACGACCUGUACCGAGAACGGACACACGUGGUCAAGGAGAGUAUCCUAAGGUGAGCGAGAUAACUGUUGUUAAGGAACUCUGCAAAAUUACUUCGUAAGUUAGCAAGAAGAAGUGCUCUAGAAAUAGAGUCGCAGUGAAGAGGCCCAGGUAACUGUUUAACAAAAACACAGCUCUAUGCUAAGUCGCAAGACGAUGUAUAUGGGGUGACGCCUGCCCAGUGCUGGAAGGUUAAAAGGUGAGGUUAGCGCAAGCGAAGCUUUAAAUUGAAGCCCCAGUGAACGGCGGCCGUAACUAUAACGGUCCUAAGGUAGCGAAAUUCCUUGUCAGGUAAGUUCUGACGCGCACGAAUGGUGUAAUAAUCUGGGCGCUGUCUCGACAGCAGACUCGGUGAAAUCUUAAUACCUGUAAAGAUGCAGGUUACCCGCGACUAGACGGAAAGACCCCAUGGAGCUUUACUAUAGCUUAAUAUUGAGUAAUUGUAGUUCAUGUACAGGAUAGGUGGGAGACGAUGAAGUAGUGGCGUCAGCUGCUAUGGAGUCAACCUUGGGAUACCACUCUUGAAUUAUGAUUAUUCUAACUCACGCCCUACACGGGGUGGAGGACAGUGUUAGGUGGGUAGUUUGACUGGGGCGGUCGCCUCCUAAAGAGUAACGGAGGCGCCCAAAGGUACCCUCAGUAUGGUUGGAAAUCAUAUUUCGAGUGCAAAGGCAUAAGGGUGCUUGACUGCGAGACUUACAAGUCGAGCAGGGACGAAAGUCGGGCUUAGUGAUCCGGCGGUUCCGCGUGGAAGGGCCGUCGCUCAACGGAUAAAAGCUACCCUGGGGAUAACAGGCUGAUCGCGUCCAAGAGUUCACAUCGACGACGCGGUUUGGCACCUCGAUGUCGGCUCAUCACAUCCUGGAGGGGUAGUACCUUCCAAGGGUUUGGCUGUUCGCCAAUUAAAGUGGUACGCGAGCUGGGUUCAAAACGUCGUGAGACAGUUUGGUCCCUAUCUGUCGUGGGCGUAGGAAGUUUGAGAGGACCUGUCCUUAGUACGAGAGGACCGGGAUGGACAUAGCAAUGGUACACCAGUUGUCACGCCAGUGGCAUAGCUGGGUAGCUACCUAUGGAAUAGAUAAACGCUGAAAGCAUCUAAGUGCGAAGCUAACCUCAAGAUGAGACUUCCCAUUCGCAAGAAGUAAGACCCCUAGAAAGUGACUAGGUUGAUAGGUCAUAGAUGUAAGUGCAGUGAUGCAUUAAGUCGAGUGAUACUAAUAGGUCGAGGACUU